RNAcentral lists this ribosomal RNA (253 nucleotides) under uncultured bacterium. RNAcentral's name for it is "partial 16S ribosomal RNA". It matches the Rfam family "Bacterial small subunit ribosomal RNA", at positions 524 to 776 of the family's 1533-position model. The record is from RNAcentral.
UACGUAGGGUGCGAGCGUUGUCCGGAAUUAUUGGGCGUAAAGAGCUCGUAGGCGGUGUGUCGCGUCGGCCGUGAAAACCCAGGGCUUAACUCUGGGCUUGCUUUCGAUACGGGCAGACUAGAGGUAUGCAGGGGAGAACGGAAUUCCUGGUGUAGCGGUGAAAUGCGCAGAUAUCAGGAGGAACACCGGUGGCGAAGGCGGUUCUCUGGGCAUUACCUGACGCUGAGGAGCGAAAGUGUGGGGAGCGAACAGG